UUUUGAUCCUGGCUCAGGACGAACGCUGGCGGCGUGCCUAAUACAUGCAAGUCGAGCGGACAGAUGGGAGCUUGCUCCCUGAUGUUAGCGGCGGACGGGUGAGUAACACGUGGGUAACCUGCCUGUAAGACUGGGAUAACUCCGGGAAACCGGGGCUAAUACCGGAUGGUUGUUUGAACCGCAUGGUUCAAACAUAAAAGGUGGCUUCGGCUACCACUUACAGAUGGACCCGCGGCGCAUUAGCUAGUUGGUGAGGUAACGGCUCACCAAGGCAACGAUGCGUAGCCGACCUGAGAGGGUGAUCGGCCACACUGGGACUGAGACACGGCCCAGACUCCUACGGGAGGCAGCAGUAGGGAAUCUUCCGCAAUGGACGAAAGUCUGACGGAGCAACGCCGCGUGAGUGAUGAAGGUUUUCGGAUCGUAAAGCUCUGUUGUUAGGGAAGAACAAGUACCGUUCGAAUAGGGCGGUACCUUGACGGUACCUAACCAGAAAGCCACGGCUAACUACGUGCCAGCAGCCGCGGUAAUACGUAGGUGGCAAGCGUUGUCCGGAAUUAUUGGGCGUAAAGGGCUCGCAGGCGGUUUCUUAAGUCUGAUGUGAAAGCCCCCGGCUCAACCGGGGAGGGUCAUUGGAAACUGGGGAACUUGAGUGCAGAAGAGGAGAGUGGAAUUCCACGUGUAGCGGUGAAAUGCGUAGAGAUGUGGAGGAACACCAGUGGCGAAGGCGACUCUCUGGUCUGUAACUGACGCUGAGGAGCGAAAGCGUGGGGAGCGAACAGGAUUAGAUACCCUGGUAGUCCACGCCGUAAACGAUGAGUGCUAAGUGUUAGGGGGUUUCCGCCCCUUAGUGCUGCAGCUAACGCAUUAAGCAUUCCGCCUGG
This 884-nucleotide ribosomal RNA is filed under the name Bacillus subtilis. RNAcentral's name for it is "bacterial SSU rRNA". It matches the Rfam family "Bacterial small subunit ribosomal RNA", at positions 11 to 876 of the family's 1533-position model. The record is from RNAcentral. Lineage: Bacteria; Bacillati; Bacillota; Bacilli; Caryophanales; Bacillaceae.